AAACAGGAUGCAAGGCUUGCCAAUUAAGAGCGCGAUCGAUAGCUAGUGUGGGUUACGGCUACAGGGCGAUCGUACUGUUGAGAGACACAGCACCUGGACUGAGCCCGUCAGACUCUACGGAGCAGCAGGGGAUUUGACAUGGGGAAACUGAUCCAGCAUCCGCGUGUGCGAUGAAGCUCGGGUGUAAAGCACUUUUGCAGAAAGAACGUCAUGGGUUAUACCCUGUGAAACUGACGGUACCUGCAGAAUAAGCACCGGCUAACUACGUGCCAGCAGCGCGGUAAUACGUAGGGUGCAAGCGUUAAUCGGAAUUACUGGGCGUAAAGCGUGCGCAGGCGGUUCGGAAAGAAAGAUGUGAAAUCCCAGAGCUUAACUUUGGAACUGCAUUUUUAACUACCGAGCUAGAGUGUGUCAGAGGGAGGUGGAAUUCCGCGUGUAGCAGUGAAAUGCGUAGAUAUGCGGAGGAACACCGAUGGCGAAGGCAGCCUCCUGGGAUAACACUGACGCUCAUGCACGAAAGCGUGGGGAGCAAACAGGAUUAGAUACCCUGAUAGUCCACGCCCUAAACGAUGUCAACUAGCUGUUGGGGCCUUCGGGCCUUAGUAGCGCAGCUAACGCGUGAAGUUGACCGCCUGGGGAGUACGGUCGCAAGAUUAAAACUCAAAGGAAUUGACGGGGACCCGCACAAGCGGUGGAUGAUGUGGAUUAAUUCGAUGCAACGCGAAAAACCUUACCUACCCUUGACAUGUCUGGAAGGCCGAAGAGAUUUGGCUGUGCUCGCAAGAGAACUGGAACACAGGUGCUGCAUGUCUGUCGUCAGCUCGUGUCGUGAGAUGUUGGGUUAAGUCCCGCAACGAGCGCAACCCUUGUCAUUAGUUGCUACGAAAGGGCACUCUAAUGAGACUGCCGGUGACAAACCGGAGGAAGGUGGGGAUGACGUCAAGUCCUCAUGGCCCUUAUGGGUAGGGCUUCACACGUCAUACAAUGGUCGGGACAGAGGGUCGCCAACCCGCGAGGGGGAGCCAAUCCCAGAAACCCGAUCGUAGUCCGGAUCGCAGUCUGCAACUCGACUGCGUGAAGUCGGAAUCGCUAGUAAUCGCGGAUCAGCAUUCGACGUUUCCCUC
This 1124-nucleotide ribosomal RNA is filed under the name uncultured bacterium. Its description in RNAcentral is "bacterial SSU rRNA". It matches the Rfam family "Bacterial small subunit ribosomal RNA", at positions 202 to 1369 of the family's 1533-position model. The record is from RNAcentral.